AGAGUUUGAUCAUGGCUCAGGACGAACGCUGGCGGCGUGCUUAACACAUGCAAGUCGAACGGUAAGGCCCUUUUGGGGGUACACGAGUGGCGAACGGGUGAGUAACACGUGGGUGACCUGCCCUUCACUUUGGGAUAAGCCUGGGAAACUGGGUCUAAUACCGAAUAUGACCUGUGACUGCAUGGUUAUGGGUGGAAAGCCAGUUACUUUUUGUUUCUGGCGGUGGGGGAUGGGCCCGCGGCCUAUCAGCUUGUUGGUGGGGUGAUGGCCUACCAAGGCUUCGACGGGUAGCCGGCCUGAGAGGGCGUCCGGCCACACUGGGACUGAGACACGGCCCAGACUCCUACGGGAGGCAGCAGUGGGGAAUAUUGCGCAAUGGGCGGAAGCCUGACGCAGCGACGCCGCGUGGGGGAUGACGGCCUUCGGGUUGUAAACCUCUUUCGGCCCCGACGAAGCGGAAGUGACGGUAGGGGUGGAAGAAGCACCGGCCAACUACGUGCCAGCAGCCGCGGUA
Molecule: ribosomal RNA, 514 nt
Filed under: uncultured Actinomycetes bacterium
Lineage: Bacteria; Bacillati; Actinomycetota; Actinomycetes
Description: bacterial SSU rRNA
Rfam family: Bacterial small subunit ribosomal RNA
Source: RNAcentral